UCCGGUUUGUCACCGGCAGUCUCAUUAGAGUGCCCUUUCGUAGCAACUAAUGACAAGGGUUGCGCUCGUUGCGGGACUUAACCCAACAUCUCACGACACGAGCUGACGACAGCCAUGCAGCACCUGUGUAACGGCUCUCUUUCGAGCACCCUCAGAUCUCUCCAAGGUUCCGUCCAUGUCAAGGGUAGGUAAGGUUUUUCGCGUUGCAUCGAAUUAAUCCACAUCAUCCACCGCUUGUGCGGGUCCCCGUCAAUUCCCUUGAGUUUUAACCUUGCGGCCGUAGUCCCCAGGCGGGGCACUUAAUGCGUUAGCUGCGGCACCGCAGGGGUCAAUACCCGCGACACCUAGUGCCCAUCGUUUACAGCGUGGACUAC
This 374-nucleotide unclassified non-coding RNA is filed under the name uncultured bacterium. RNAcentral's name for it is "contains 16S-23S intergenic spacer region". The record is from RNAcentral.